Molecule: ribosomal RNA, 478 nt
Filed under: uncultured bacterium
Lineage: Bacteria
Description: bacterial SSU rRNA
Rfam family: Bacterial small subunit ribosomal RNA
Source: RNAcentral
UCAGUCGACUCCUACGGGGAGGCAGCAGUGGGGAAUAUUGCACAAUGGGGGAAACCCUGAUGCAGCCAUGCCGCGUGUGUGAAGAAGGCCUUCGGGUUGUAAAGCACUUUCAGUAGGGAGGAAGGUAGUGUAGUUAACACCUGCAUUAUUUGACGUUACCUACAGAAGAAGCACCGGCUAACUCCGUGCCAGCAGCCGCGGUAAUACGGAGGGUGCGAGCGUUAAUCGGAAUUACUGGGCGUAAAGCGCAUGCAGGCGGCCUGUUAAGUCAGAUGUGAAAGCCCGGGGCUUAACCUCGGAAUUGCAUUUGAAACUGGCAGGCUAGAGUCUUGUAGAGGGGGGUAGGAAUUUCAGGUGUAGCGGUGAAAUGCGUAGAGAUCUGAAGGAAUACCAGUGGCGAAGGCGGCCCCCUGGACAAAGACUGACGCUCAGAUGCGAAAGCGUGGGGACGCAAACGAGGAUUAGAUACCCCUGGUAG